RNAcentral lists this ribosomal RNA (402 nucleotides) under uncultured bacterium. Its description in RNAcentral is "partial 16S ribosomal RNA". It matches the Rfam family "Archaeal small subunit ribosomal RNA", at positions 473 to 873 of the family's 1478-position model. The record is from RNAcentral.
ACACCGGCAGCUCAAGUGGUAGCCGCUUUUAUUGGGCCUAAAGCGUCCGUAGCCGGUCUGAUAAGUCUCUGGUGAAAUCCCACAGCUUAACUGUGGGAAUUGCUGGAGAUACUAUCAUGACUCGAGGUCGGGAGAGGCUGGAGGUACUCCCAGGGGAGGGGCGAAAUCCGGUAAUCCUGGGAGGACCACCUGUGGCGAAGGCGUCCAGCUGGAACGAACCUGACGGUGAGGGACGAAAGCCAGGGGCGCGAACCGGAUUAGAUACCCGGGUAGUCCUGGCCGUAAACGAUGUGGACUUGGUGUUGGGAUGGCUUCGAGCUGCCCCAGUGCCGAAGGGAAGCUGUUAAGUCCACCGCCUGGGAAGUACGGCCGCAAGGCUGAAACUUAAAGGAAUUGGCGGGG